CGGAGAAGUUGCCGAGCGCAUCUGGCGCCGUGUGCGUGUCUACAGCCUAUGGAUGUGCGCCUUGCACGGACGUCGGUGGAUGUGUGUGAGUGUGUAUUUCAGAUGAGGGAAGGGGACUGGACUGAAGUGAACUCCCAGAGGGACGCGACAGGCAGAGGGGUCUGUCCGAGGAGGGGCUUUCUGGAGACACGGGGGCAACAAGUGUGGCUCUUUUCACACCAACGGUCUCCACCGAUGCAAAACUGAGCUCUGUCGUGAUUCCGUGUCCACUUUAGCCUCAUUGUCUUCUAGGCACCCCGUCAUGAUCACACCUCCUUCUCAGAGACUUAACUGAGGGGAGGACAAAAAUAGACAGAUGCUUCUCAGCUGUUGUCUCCUGCGAUGUUGGUGCGUGAGGCUCAACGGUUCUCAUGCUGCACUGGUUCCCUGUAGCUGUGAUAUGACUGCAAAAAACAUUAGGCAGGAUCCCAGCACACUACAUUGCAAUAUCCUUCACUGUAUUGGACGAGUCACUGUCUGACUGGCAGGAAGGAAGGAAGGAAGUAAUGACGACAUGAUGUGACAUCAAUGUCUCUGGGGAGGUAAAUUAAUAAAUGAAUGAAGGGAGGAGAAUUGGAGGUGGGUGAUGAUAAAGGUAUUAUGCUUUGGACUUGUGUUUUGGACAGAGAUCAGCUAAAUUAAUGAUUGAAUGAAUGAAUGAAUUAGUCAGUUAUUUGAUGAACCAAUGAGUGAACAGCUGACUUGCAAUCACUGUAUUUGAAUCGCUCUUACCCCUGUGACUGAGAGUAACCUGCGGUCGACAGGCUCUGGUCUGGCCUGCCAACCAGGCUCUGCCACAGAGAUUUUAAAGUGGUCAUCACUGCUCUCUGUCUUUUGGGUUUGGUGCUACUGUAUCUAGGUCAACAACUACUACUAGUGCUGAAUCAUGAAUCCAGGGAGUAAACAGCUCUGAGAGGAAACCAGCUUGCUGAUACAUAAUUUCAAGAUCAUGUG
Scophthalmus maximus (turbot) is the source of this 993-nucleotide long non-coding RNA. RefSeq lists it as uncharacterized. The record is from RefSeq and is a predicted model, not a curated record. The transcript has 3 exons. NCBI's taxonomy places the organism in Eukaryota, Metazoa, Chordata, Actinopteri, Pleuronectiformes, Scophthalmidae.